Molecule: long non-coding RNA, 310 nt
Filed under: Numida meleagris (helmeted guineafowl)
Lineage: Eukaryota; Metazoa; Chordata; Aves; Galliformes; Numididae
Description: lncRNA (ENSNMEG00000013902.1)
Source: RNAcentral
AUGCAUUGUGUGAUGCUAUGGAGUCCCACCUGGAAGGUGCUACAGAGGUUGGAGUGGUGGCUGACACAGGUGAAGGUCACAGUGCUUAGUGCUGAAGAGGAUCAGACUGUUUUGGAGGACACUGUGUGGGGGCCUGGCUUGGAGUCUGAUGUUGGAGAAGUACAGUGGAUUGAGGAAUGGUGCUUCUGCUCUUCCCAGACACACCUAUAGGUUUGCACAAGAAGAGCCACCUUGCACCUGCUUUUGUGCAGCCCAAAUGCUGCUCACGACCAACACUUUUCAGCAUCAAUUUUAUCAAGUUGAUUCAAGU